GUGUCGGGUUGAAAAAUUGACACCAAAAUUUCAAAUGUUUCAGAAAACGUGUUUAAGCAAUAGCAGGUUUGAAAUGACACCAAGUUAAAAAAAAACGCGUGUGAGCAACAGCAGGUUUGAAAUAAAAAGUAGACGGCGAAGCUUCGGAAAAUCGUGAAUAUAGCGCUUCGCACUUUAUAAUCUUAAUAAAAGAUAUUCCAGCUAUGCCUACAAGUCAGUCUACAGCUGUCAGAACGAGUAACGUCCCAGUAGGCGAACGAAAAGGGGGAAGAGAGACGACGGGGAACAAACGAACGACAGGAGGCAGUGCUAGCCUACCAUUUCUCCACAAGCACUACACGGGAUCAGGACGGACAUGUCAGAGUUGGAGCGGUGCCGUUAUGUCCGAAGCAUAGGAGCGGGAGCAGCACCUACAACCGAGUGGAUUAAAAUAAGUAAAUGAAACUUAAGAAGAGCAUUAGUGUGAUCGCUUCGCAAUGCUGUGUAAUUGAGCAAUCGCACUAAUCAUCGGUGUGUAUUUAUUAUCAUCAGUGUGUAUUUAUUAUGUAAAUAAAUGAUAGAAAUAACUUGGCCUGCCUUGCCACACAAAAGCAGAACUCCAGUGUCGUGGCUGUGGAUGUGCAACACUGUGAAAUGCAACUAGCCUAUCUGUCAUAAUAUUCGACUUGAAAGCGCAGAUGAAGGGAUGGGAAGAAAAAUAACGAAACGGCGUUUAGUGAGGUGCUGUCACGUUGACUGAAAAAUCUGGUCACCUUACCUUAGACUCGUCCCUGGGUCCACACACACUCACACCAUAAAGGAAAGGAAAACCACAGAGGUAUUUUCUCUUUACUCUUUACUAAUGUGAGCACACAUUUUUAACUUCCAACCCCAGAACAUAUAACAUACGCAUUUUUUGUAUUAUUUGACUAGCUUGAACCCUGAAACUAGCCUUUAAGUUUACACCUGUAACACACAUUAUACCUGUUAGUAUUCAAAUGAAAUAUUAUUUUGUUGAUUUAAUUUUGAAGAUUAUUAUUAAUGUUGGCUCGUGUUUUAACAUUUAGAAGCUCAAUCGUGUGACAGCACCAGGAAAUGGGUUUUGUUUUACGCACAGUAUGUCCUGUACAAGGCCCUGUUUGUAAUUCGUCUUCUGCUGCCACCUUGUGCGGAAAAAUGCAAUUGCGAUCUGCAAAAAUAUCUAGUGUCAUCUUGGAUAACGCAUCCAGUACAGGGAUGUUUCACUCAGUGUCACCCCUGUGCUUGUUCUCGCCACCCCCAUUUUUAAUGUCUACGCUGGCCCAAAAAGCUCAACCCAAUGCAACUUAAUAAAACACGUGCAAAUAGCCUGAACAGAAGUAAAGUAAGGAAACAUUUUCAUCAACUUCACAGCACAUGCGCAGCACAACACAUCACAGAAACGCGCUACAAUUACACCAAACGAGAACCGAAGACACUUAAAAUAAAUGAAC
Molecule: long non-coding RNA, 1451 nt
Organism: Clupea harengus (Atlantic herring)
Lineage: Eukaryota; Metazoa; Chordata; Actinopteri; Clupeiformes; Clupeidae
Source: Ensembl